RNAcentral lists this ribosomal RNA (227 nucleotides) under uncultured bacterium. Its description in RNAcentral is "partial 16S ribosomal RNA". It matches the Rfam family "Bacterial small subunit ribosomal RNA", at positions 524 to 750 of the family's 1533-position model. The record is from RNAcentral.
UACGUAGGGCGCAAGCGUUGUCCGGAAUUAUUGGGCGUAAAGAGCUCGUAGGCGGCUUGUCACGUCGGAUGUGAAAGCCCGGGGCUUAACCCCGGGUCUGCAUUCGAUACGGGCAGGCUAGAGUGUGGUAGGGGAGAUCGGAAUUCCUGGUGUAGCGGUGAAAUGCGCAGAUAUCAGGAGGAACACCGGUGGCGAAGGCGGAUCUCUGGGCCAUUACUGACGCUGAG